UACGAAGGGUGCAAGCGUUAGUCGGAAUUACUGGGCGUAAAGCGUGCGUAGGUGGUUUCUUAAGUCGGAUGUGAAAGCCCUGGGCUCAACCUGGGAAUGGCACUCGAUACUGGGAAGCUAGAGUGCGGUAGAGGAGGGUGGAAUUCCCGGUGUAGCGGUGAAAUGCGUAGAGAUCGGGAGGAACAUCAGUGGCGAAGGCGGGUCUCUGGGCCGAUACUGACGCUGAGGAGCGAAAGCGUGGGGAGCGAACAGG
This 253-nucleotide ribosomal RNA is filed under the name uncultured bacterium. RNAcentral describes it as "partial 16S ribosomal RNA". It matches the Rfam family "Bacterial small subunit ribosomal RNA", at positions 524 to 776 of the family's 1533-position model. The record is from RNAcentral.